RNAcentral lists this ribosomal RNA (396 nucleotides) under Escherichia coli. RNAcentral describes it as "partial 23S ribosomal RNA". It matches the Rfam family "Bacterial large subunit ribosomal RNA", at positions 2259 to 2654 of the family's 2925-position model. The record is from RNAcentral. Lineage: Bacteria; Pseudomonadati; Pseudomonadota; Gammaproteobacteria; Enterobacterales; Enterobacteriaceae. RNAcentral also lists the same sequence under 1 other name.
UGGUGGGUAGUUUGACUGGGGCGGUCUCCUCCUAAAGAGUAACGGAGGAGCACGAAGGUUGGCUAAUCCUGGUCGGACAUCAGGAGGUUAGUGCAAUGGCAUAAGCCAGCUUGACUGCGAGCGUGACGGCGCGAGCAGGUGCGAAAGCAGGUCAUAGUGAUCCGGUGGUUCUGAAUGGAAGGGCCAUCGCUCAACGGAUAAAAGGUACUCCGGGGAUAACAGGCUGAUACCGCCCAAGAGUUCAUAUCGACGGCGGUGUUUGGCACCUCGAUGUCGGCUCAUCACAUCCUGGGGCUGAAGUAGGUCCCAAGGGUAUGGCUGUUCGCCAUUUAAAGUGGUACGCGAGCUGGGUUUAGAACGUCGUGAGACAGUUCGGUCCCUAUCUGCCGUGGGCGC